GAUGAACGCUGGCGGCGUGCCUAAUACAUGCAAGUCGAGCGAAUGGAUUAAGAGCUUGCUCUUAUGAAGUUAGCGGCGGACGGGUGAGUAACACGCGGGUAACCUGCCCAUAAGACUGGGAUAACUCCGGGAAACCGGGGCUAAUACCGGAUAACAUUUUGAACAGCAUGGUUCGAAAUUGAAAGGCGGCUUCGGCUGUCACUUAUGGCUGGACCCGAGGCGCAUUAGCUUGUUGGUGAGGUAAUGGCUCACCAAGGCGACGAUGCGUAGCCGACCUGGGAGGGUGAACGGCCACACUGGGACUGAGACACGGCCCAGACGCCUACGGGAGGCAGCAGUAGGGAAUCUUCCGCAAUGGACGAAAGUCUGACGGAGCAACGCCGCGUGAGUGAUGAAGGCUUUCGGGUCGUAAAACUCUGUUGUUAGGGAAGAACAAGUGCUAGUUGAAUAAGCUGGCACCUUGACGGUACCUAACCAGAAAGCCACGGCUAACUACGUGCCAGCCGCCGCGGUAA
RNAcentral lists this ribosomal RNA (515 nucleotides) under uncultured bacterium. Its description in RNAcentral is "partial 16S ribosomal RNA". It matches the Rfam family "Bacterial small subunit ribosomal RNA", at positions 28 to 523 of the family's 1533-position model. The record is from RNAcentral.